Selaginella moellendorffii is the source of this 1308-nucleotide long non-coding RNA. RefSeq lists it as uncharacterized. The record is from RefSeq and is a predicted model, not a curated record. The transcript is spliced from 2 exons. Lineage: Eukaryota; Viridiplantae; Streptophyta; Lycopodiopsida; Selaginellales; Selaginellaceae.
UGCGCAAUCGAUCGCUGCUGAGUCGUCGAUUAGAGCAAGAAUAUUCCAAGCACGACGCCGACGCCAAAGACAUUGCCAUCGUUGUAGGUCGCCUCCGUGUAAUCCUCAGUCUCGAGAAGCAUCGCGACUCCAUUUGCAUGCUCUGCCCUCUCACGACGAGCUUGUACCUCUCGAAUUCCAGAUCUGGCUGAGAAUUGGCCGAUUCCCUGGCAAUGCCCGGAGACGUCUCUGGAACACACACCAGGCCCCUCAAUUUCUCUGUGAGCACUGCCACGAACGUGUCCCUCAAUACGGAACUUCUUCUUUGGCGCGUAGAGAAGAGGGCUUUCGAUCAAUGACCUGUAGAGGAAUCCCGAAUGAUCACGCAAGAAUCAGCUGAUCUGGAACGAUUGAUUCCACCCGUUUCUUCUUGUCGGCGUCUUCGGGGAGAGUCUCCAAUGCCGCCAUUUUGAUCGAUUCUUCGCGAUUACCCAAGAACCCCCCACGUCAGUCACUACGCGUUCGGCGGUGCUCCACUACUCGCAGAUUGAGCCCAACAAUCUGGGCGUGGUCAAGGACAUCGGCGAGAAUGUGGGGCUCAUCACUGGCUAUCCUCCAACAAGCUCCAUGCAUGGGUCAUCCUCUUCAUUCCUCGGAUAUGGCUCGUCAUCAGUGAAAGGAUCGCCCACUUCCAUACUGGCAAGUGUGUCUAGCAAUUUGCAUCAGUUCUAGCAACAGUGCCACAUUCUUCAACACCGGGGUUCUCGUCAAUGGCAGGCUUCAGUGGUGCCAUCUCUAAACCUCUUUCCUCUUUUAAAACCCGGGCUCGUUGUUGCUGCUUCUUUCUACCAGUCCUUUCACUUGCAUCAUUCACCCCAUAGGGGGCCUGGCACAUUUCCAAGGUUGGGUAUGUUGUGGAAAACUAUUGGAAGAAGGCCGUGGAGCAAGGUGCCGAUCAUCGGAUCACAAUGAGAAAGGUAAAUAGAAGAGAGGAGAGAGUGGUCGCCUUGCAUAAAUGUGAAUCUAGAGAGUUGGAUAGAAUUCAAGCACCUAGGCCAUGGUUCUUGGAGGCCGUGGGAGAAUGCAAGGUAGAUCAAUUGAUAGUGGAAGAAUCUGAGGCAAAUCGAUCAAUAUUUCAAGAAGAAUCAAGCAUUGAUCUAGCAGGCUUGGAUGAACCAGGGUCUGGGAUGAAGGAGAGAGUGGGGCCAACCAGGCACAGGGGAUAGAGUUCUCUUUGUUUUUGCAGGAGGUUUGGAAUGAAUGAACUAGUCAGGUGAAGUCUAUGUGAAGGUGAUAAAGAUUAAUUUGAUGGUGCUGAGGUUUGCUCAA